This 253-nucleotide ribosomal RNA is filed under the name uncultured bacterium. RNAcentral's name for it is "partial 16S ribosomal RNA". It matches the Rfam family "Bacterial small subunit ribosomal RNA", at positions 524 to 776 of the family's 1533-position model. The record is from RNAcentral.
UACAGAGGUGGCAAGCGUUGUUCGGAAUUACUGGGCGUAAAGGGCGCGUAGGCGGCCUUCUAGGUCAGACGUGAAAUCCCCAGGCUUAACUUGGGAACUGCGUCUGAUACUGGGAGGCUUGAGUGCGGGAGAGGGAUGUGGAAUUCCAGGUGUAGCGGUGAAAUGCGUAGAUAUCUGGAGGAACACCGGUGGCGAAGGCGGCAUCCUGGACCGACACUGACGCUGAGGCGCGACAGCGUGGGGAGCAAACGGG